UACGUAGGUCCCGAGCGUUAUCCGGAUUUAUUGGGCGUAAAGCGAGCGCAGGCGGUUGGAUAAGUCUGAAGUUAAAGGCUGUGGCUCAACCAUAGUAUGCUUUGGAAACUGUUCAACUUGAGUGCAGAAGGGGAGAGUGGAGUUCCAUGUGUAGCGGUGGAAUGCGUAGAUAUAUGGAGGAACACCGGUGGCGAAAGCGGCUCUCUGGUCUGUAACUGACGCUGAGGCUCGAAAGCGUGGGUAGCGAACAGG
This 252-nucleotide ribosomal RNA is filed under the name uncultured bacterium. RNAcentral describes it as "partial 16S ribosomal RNA". It matches the Rfam family "Bacterial small subunit ribosomal RNA", at positions 524 to 776 of the family's 1533-position model. The record is from RNAcentral.